AAUCGACGCUUAUGGGAUACCAUGAAAGGCGUUGGUAACUUAAGACAGCAGGACGGUGGCCAUGGAAGUCGGA
RNAcentral lists this ribosomal RNA (73 nucleotides) under Trigonopterus sp. 653 AR-2022a. Its description in RNAcentral is "partial large subunit ribosomal RNA". It matches the Rfam family "Eukaryotic large subunit ribosomal RNA", at positions 1192 to 1265 of the family's 3401-position model. Lineage: Eukaryota; Metazoa; Arthropoda; Insecta; Coleoptera; Curculionidae. The record is from RNAcentral.